AUGCACGCUGGCGGCGUGCCUAAUACAUGCCAGUCGAGCGAACAGAUGAGGAGCUUGCUCCUCUGACGUUAGCGGCGGACGGGUGAGUAACCCGUGGAUAACCUACCUAUAAGACUGGGAUAACUUCGGGAAACCGGAGCUAAUACCGGAUAAUAUAUUGAACCGCAUGGUUCAAUAGUGAAAGACGGUUUUGCUGUCACUUAUAGAUGGAUCCGCGCCGCAUUAGCUAGUUGGUAAGGUAACGGCUUACCAAGGCAACGAUGCGUAGCCGACCUGAGAGGGUGAUCGGCCACACUGGAACUGAGACACGGUCCAGACUCCUACGGGAGGCAGCAGUAGGGAAUCUUCCGCAAUGGGCGAAAGCCUGACGGAGCAACGCCGCGUGAGUGAUGAAGGUCUUCGGAUCGUAAAACUCUGUUAUUAGGGAAGAACAAAUGUGUAAGUAACUAUGCACGUCUUGACGGUACCUAAUCAGAAAGCCACGGCUAACUACGUG
This 496-nucleotide ribosomal RNA is filed under the name uncultured bacterium. Its description in RNAcentral is "partial 16S ribosomal RNA". It matches the Rfam family "Bacterial small subunit ribosomal RNA", at positions 29 to 507 of the family's 1533-position model. The record is from RNAcentral.